GGCCGAGCCAAGGUCUCCGCUGAGCACAGCAGGGCAGGGCGCCUGUGCCUGCAGCAAACACAAAGUGAGCCAGCAAAGUCCAAGGGCAGGAGCUGGAGAUGGCUCCCGGCUGGUGCUAGGGCAGCUUCAAGGAAAACCACCCCAGCCGCUGAAGGGUUACAUCUGGGCCCACACCUAAACGGACUUUGCUUCUCCAGAAACCUCAGAAGCAGAAGCAAAGAAACAGUGGUUUCCAGUCCUCCUAACGAGUGGCCCUUGAAGAUCAAUUCAGAAAUAAAGA
Molecule: long non-coding RNA, 280 nt
Organism: Sapajus apella (tufted capuchin)
Lineage: Eukaryota; Metazoa; Chordata; Mammalia; Primates; Cebidae
Exons: 2
Source: RefSeq, a predicted model, not a curated record